RNAcentral lists this ribosomal RNA (422 nucleotides) under Laparocerus rasus jandiensis. RNAcentral's name for it is "partial 16S ribosomal RNA". Lineage: Eukaryota; Metazoa; Arthropoda; Insecta; Coleoptera; Curculionidae. The record is from RNAcentral.
GGUAUUUUGACCGUGCAAAGGUAGCAUAAUCAAUAGUUUUUUAAUUGAAAGCUGGAAUGAAAGGUUGGAUGAGAAAUAAGCUGUCUCUAUUUAAUUUUAUUAGAAUUUUAUUUUUAAGUUAAAAAGCUUAAAUUUUAAUAGAAGACGAGAAGACCCUAUAGAGUUUUAUUUAUUUAUUUAAUAAGUUUAUUAGUAUAGAUUGUUUUUAUUCAAAAAAUAAAUUUAGUUGGGGUGAUUGAAAAAUUUAAUAAACUUUUUAUAUAUUUACACAUUAAUAUAUGAUUACUUGAUCCUUAGUUUAAGAUUAAAAGAUAAAAUUACCUUAGGGAUAACAGCGUAAUUUUUUUUGAGAGUUCUAAUCGAAAGAAAAGAUUGCGACCUCGAUGUUGGAUUAAAAUAAAAUUUUGGUGUAGAAGCUAAAA